Solanum pennellii is the source of this 824-nucleotide long non-coding RNA. RefSeq lists it as uncharacterized. Lineage: Eukaryota; Viridiplantae; Streptophyta; Magnoliopsida; Solanales; Solanaceae. The transcript is spliced from 3 exons. The record is from RefSeq and is a predicted model, not a curated record.
CUUGCUGAUAAGGAAUAGUCUUAACGUUAUCAUCUGAAAACUUGUGAAUCCCACAAUCCAGUUGUUCGCUAUUCCGAGCUCCGAGAGGUACUCCAUUUGGAAAUAUAAGUUUGAGAGAGUGCUUAGGACCUUUACAAGGAUUCAAUUGUUGAGUAGCAUGGAAACAGUUAAAGGUUGUUCGGAAAGGAAAUGCUCCAGCAAAGUCAUGAGGAGAGAGUGUAGUUGGCCUUUAAGUAGGCUAUAACUCCUAUCCUUUAGAUUGAGGUUGAUUGUGGUAUUGUUUAAAUAUGGGUGUGCGGCUAGUAUGUCAUCUCUUCUUAUCAGAAACGAUUUUGAAGGGUUGAUUUUUCAUGCCAUUUUGGGUUUAGUACCAUUUUGUCAAAGGGGUGUUUAUCUGUCGGUACUUGUUAAUGACCUAUUAGGUUUUUUUAUCUAUCAUUGCAUGCAUAGUAUCUAGUUGGUUGUUUAUUUAUUUUUGAAUUUAUCUUUGUCCUUAGUCUAGGAUAGACUAGUGUUGCCUUAGACCCAUGCACCUGGUUUACUUUUAUAUGUAUUCGACGCCAAUGUGGACUGACUAAAUCAUUGUAGAUCGGUAUAGAAAACUUGGGUCUGAUAGUUUAGCUUAGCGUUGGGAUUUUUAUUGCUUGUGAUCUUUUUGGCUUCUCUCCUUAUUUCUACGAUACUAAUUUGUUAUUGGAGGCAUGGUAUUUUCCUGGUUGGGUGCUACGCGGUCGAUUCUGGUGUGAGGUACUUGGUAGUGGAUGUUGAUUGACGUUGGCUUGGAGUUGAUUCACCCAUUUUUGGAAUUACAGAUCCUCUACGGA